This 355-nucleotide long non-coding RNA is filed under the name Apteryx rowi (Okarito brown kiwi). RNAcentral's name for it is "lncRNA (ENSARWG00000018734.1)". The record is from RNAcentral. Lineage: Eukaryota; Metazoa; Chordata; Aves; Apterygiformes; Apterygidae.
AUUUCUGUUAGUGAAUCUUUAAUAUGGGACUGUAUGAGAUGACUUUUUGCUUUUCUUUCUGUGCAGGUCAACUUUGUAGUGUGCCAGCUGUUUGCCUUGCUUGCAGCUAUCUGGUUUCGAACAUACCUUCAUUCAAGCAAAACCAGCCCAUUUAUAAGACAUGUUGUUGCAACCCUCUUGGGCCUUUAUCUUGCACUUUUUUGUUUUGGAUGGUAUGCCUUACAUUUUGUUAUACAAAGUGGAAUUUCCUACUAUAUCAUGAUCAUAAUAGGAAUUGAAAAUAUGCACAAGUACUGCUUUGUUUUUGCUUUGGGAUACCUCACUGUGUGCCAAAUUACUAGAGUCUACAUCUUUG